GCCGCAGCACCCUCCGCCCCGACCGCAGGGCCCCGCGCGGGCGCCUCCGCCGGCCCGUCUGCCUGUGAGGAAUGGGCACGGUUCGUUAACAUUGCUCUGAAAAAUACCUGCCUCUUGCUGUUAUUAGGAGCCUCAAAAAUAUCCCAGAGGCAGAGGAGCUAACUAAACUUUUAUUCGAAUAAAAGGCAGAUUUCACUGUCCAGUCCCCAGUGAGGUCUCUCAAUUUAAUGAAGGUCACAGCCUCUUUUAUCCCCUUGUCCGAUAUGUCCGUCCCCAUUUCCUCGCUGACUGAGGUAUUAUGGGUUACAGCCUUCUCGACGCCUACUAUGUGUCCCCCAUUCCAUGAUCCCCUUGUUUCUGGGCAAACUGCACCUUUCUAUAACUCAAAACUGAACAACCAGUAACCUGUCACUUCCCGCCACCAAAUGCAGCCACGCUGCAGACUUUGCAAGAGCAUCUGUUUAUUCCUAAUAACACCCACAUCAGACCUGCGCUGCCAGGGACUGUUGACAGGCACUGACCUGCCCAAAGAUCCAAAGAGUGAUCCAAGUGAGCAGCGGGGCCGCAGGGAUGGAGCUCGUGUGCGGAUCCGAUGGGCUGUGACGGGUUUAAGUGACGCCCAGGGAACACACUUGGAAUCGCCCACCUUCCUGGCAAAACCCCAGUGCUCUGCGGCCUCUGGAUUAUUGAAAACUACAAGUGGAAAUAAUUUGGGUUUCAUUAUUAUUCUCAGCUUGCUGAAGAUACAGCUCGGCCGGUUUUAUAGAGAUUAACGCCUGAGUCAACAAGGGAGUCGUGUGUGUGAUUAACUUGCCAAGAAAGGUUAAUAAUGAUGCCGAAUUAGCAGAAGAUCGGAAGAGGGAGGACAUGAACAAGUUUCUGCCAGAGAUGAGCCACGCUCUCCACUGAAUGUUUUCACAAGUCCCAGUGUCUUAAUAAAAGAGCGAGUAUCAGAUGUUCACCCUCAUGUUCAGAAUCCCAUUAGCUCAUUUUAAUUUGGACCAAUUUUGUUGUGUCGUAGCAAGUUAUUGCUUAAAUUCAUACCAAUAUCACCAGUAGGUCUCCAAUUGUUAAAGACUUGGACUGUAAAAUAAACUCCCCCCUCCAAAAAAACCCCCCUCUAUAGUGGCUUACAGUUGGCAAUACUUUUGCAAAAAGUGAAGGUAAGGCUUGAAUAUUUGAAAAGCCAGGAAGCCAUUGUUUCAUGAGGGUCAGCAAUUUUGACAUUUCAGAAACAGUGUAAGAAGAUGUAAACAUGUUCUUGCAUUAAACAGUGAUUGAAAGGUU
Long non-coding RNA from Pseudopipra pipra, 1287 nucleotides. RefSeq lists it as uncharacterized. The transcript is spliced from 2 exons. NCBI's taxonomy places the organism in Eukaryota, Metazoa, Chordata, Aves, Passeriformes, Pipridae. The record is from RefSeq and is a predicted model, not a curated record.